GAUGAACGCUGGCGGCGUGCUUAACACAUGCAAGUCGAACGAUGAAGCCCAGCUUGCUGGGUGGAUUAGUGGCGAACGGGUGAGUAACACGUGAGUAACCUGCCCUUAACUCUGGGAUAAGCCUGGGAAACUGGGUCUAAUACCGGAUAGGAGCGCCUACCGCAUGGUGGGUGUUGGAAAGAUUUAUCGGUUUUGGAUGGACUCGCGGCCUAUCAGCUUGUUGGUGAGGUAAUGGCUCACCAAGGCGACGACGGGUAGCCGGCCUGAGAGGGUGACCUGCCAAACUGGGACUGAGACACGGCCCAGACUCCUACGGGAGGCAGCAGUGGGGAAUAUUGCACAAUGGGCGCAAGCCUGAUGCAGCGACGCCGCGUGAGGGAUGACGGCCUUCGGGUUGUAAACCUCUUUCAGUAGGGAAGAAGCGAAAGUGACGGUACCUGCAGAAGAAGCACCGGCUAACUACGUG
RNAcentral lists this ribosomal RNA (466 nucleotides) under uncultured bacterium. Its description in RNAcentral is "partial 16S ribosomal RNA". It matches the Rfam family "Bacterial small subunit ribosomal RNA", at positions 28 to 507 of the family's 1533-position model. The record is from RNAcentral.